CCUACGGGAGGCAGCAGUAGGGAAUCUUCCGCAAUGGACGAAAGUCUGACGGAGCAACGCCGCGUGAGUGAAGAAGGUUUUCGGAUCGUAAAACUCUGUUGUCAGGGAAGAACAAGUGUGGGAGUAACUGCCCGUACCUUGACGGUACCUGGCCAGAAAGCCACGGCUAACUACGUGCCAGCAGCCGCGGUAAUACGUAGGUGGCAAGCGUUGUCCGGAAUUAUUGGGCGUAAAGCGCGCGCAGGCGGCCUUUUAAGUCUGAUGUGAAAGCCCCCGGCUCAACCGGGGAGGGUCAUUGGAAACUGGAAGGCUUGAGUGCAGAAGAGAAGAGCGGAAUUCCACGUGUAGCGGUGAAAUGCGUAGAGAUGUGGAGGAACACCAGUGGCGAAGGCGGCUCUUUGGUCUGCAACUGACGCUGAGGCGCGAAAGCGUGGGGAGCAAACAGGAUUAGAUACCCUGGUAGUCCACGCCGUAAACGAUGAGUGCUAAGUGUUGGGGGUUUCCGCCCGUCAGUUGCUGCNGCUACGCAUAGACACUCCGCCGUCGGGAGGUACGGCCGCGACGGCGUGAACGUACAAAGUAGAAGUUAGACGGCGUGAGACGUCGCCGAACGGACGACGACGAGGGAGGAGG
Molecule: ribosomal RNA, 633 nt
Filed under: uncultured bacterium
Lineage: Bacteria
Description: bacterial SSU rRNA
Rfam family: Bacterial small subunit ribosomal RNA (bases 1-542)
Source: RNAcentral